Equus caballus (horse) is the source of this 7280-nucleotide long non-coding RNA. RefSeq lists it as uncharacterized. The record is from RefSeq and is a predicted model, not a curated record. Lineage: Eukaryota; Metazoa; Chordata; Mammalia; Perissodactyla; Equidae.
UGAGUAUGAUGUUGGGUGUGGGUUUGUCAUAUACGGCCUUUAUUAUUAGAAGUAUAUUUUUAAAUUUCCAAACAUAUGGGGACUUCCUAGUUAUAUUUUUGUUAUUGCAUUCUGGUCAGAAAACAUAUGCUAUGUGAUUGUUAUCCUUUGAAAUUUGUUGAGAUUUGCUUAUGGCCCAGUGUGUGUUUGUCCUUAGUGAAGUUUCCACGGGCACUUGGACAGAACAAGUGUUCUGUAGAUGCUGGAUGCAGUCAUCUAGAUAAGGCCAUUAGAUCAGAUUUUCUCUGCUCCUAAUGAAUUUUUAUCUGCUUAUUAUAUUAAUUGAGAUAAUUGUUAUUUCUAUUCAUAAUUCUAUGAAUUUUGCUUUAUAUAUUUGAGGUCAUCUUAUUAGGUGCAUACAAAUAUGGAAUUGUAUCUUCCUGCUGAAUUGAAACUUUAAGAACUAAACCUCUAUCUGUAGUAAUGCCUUUUGCUUACCUAAAGUCUGUUUUUUUCUGGUAUUAAUAAAUCAACUUCUUUUUGAUUACUGUUACAUGGUAUAUCUCUUUCCAUCCUUUCACUUUCAACUUUUCUGUAUCCUUGUUUUAGAUGUGAUUCUUGGAAAGAGCAUAUAGUUGUCAUUGUUGUUGUUUUAAUCUAGUCUGAUAAUUUAACAGGAACAUUAGGCCUUUAAUGUAUAAUUUCUGAUAUAUUUGGGUUGAAAUCUUAUUCACUACUUUCUAUUUAUCCACCCUGAUCUAAGUUCUGUUAUCUCUUUUCUUGCCUUCUUUCAGAAUAGGUUAGAAUUAUUCUGUUAGAAUUCUAUUAAUAUUUAUUCUGUUACUCAAGUUUUCCUUCUAUUGGUUUGGGAAGUUAUACACUUCUAUUCUUAUAAUGGCAAAGGAAUUAAAAGAUUCAGUGUUGACUUACCAAAGCCUAAUGUUAACUGGUACUUUUAUCUUCAUCCUAGACAAUGUAAGGAUCUUAGAAUAGUUUAUUUACUUCUCAUCUUAGAUGCUAUUGCUUUUGUGAAUUUUAAUUAUACAUAUACAUAUAUAAAGGUAUAUAGAUAUGUAUUGAAAUACAUUAUUAUUGUUUUCUACACCAAAUGUUUAUUUAGAUUUAUCCACAUAUUUAGUAUUUUAAUUACUUUCCAUUACUCUUCAUUCUGCUCUGCCUCUCCAGCUUUCCACGUGGGGUCAUUUUUCUUCUGUCUGAAAAACAUCCUUUAGAAUGUUCUGUCCUGUUAUAGGUAAAAUCUUCCAAUUUUUGUUUGCUGAAAAGUAGCUUUAUUCCACCUUCAUUCUUAAAAAGAUAUUUUUGCUGGGAAUAGAAUUGUAGGUUGAGCAUGAUAUUCUUUUUUCACAAUGGAAGCAUCAAUCCACCAAUUUCUGACUUCCACUCUGGCUGGCAAGCAGUCAGCUCUUCAUCUGUUUAAUGCAUUCUUUUGUUAAUGGCUUCUUUUAAGAUUGUUUUCUCUGCCUUUGGUUUAUUCCAGUUUUACUCUGGUAUGUUUAGGUGUGGUUUGUUUCUUUUUAAUAGUAUCCUGCUUGGGAUUCUUUGGCCUUUUAAAUUUGUGGAUUUUUAUCUUUCCAGCUUCUACAGGCUGCCCACAUCCCUUGGCUCAUGGCCUCCAUCCAUCUUCAAAGCCAGCAAUGGCUAGACCAGUCUUUAUCAAGCUGCAUCACCCUGCCAUUGACUGACUCUCCUGCCUCCCUCUUUCACUUAUAAGGACCCUUGUGAUUACUGGAGCCCACUGGGAUAAUCCAGAAUAACAUCCUCAUUUCAAGAUCUUAAGCAUCUACAAAGUCCCUUUUGCCAUGUAAGGUAACAUAUUCACAGGUUCUGGGGAUUAGGAUGUGGACAUCUUUGGGAUCCAUUACUCUGCCUAUCAGAGUGCUGAAGACCACUUAUCUGCCAAACUCCAUUCUCCUCUCCUGUGGGCACACAGCUAGACUGCAUUUUCCAGCCUUCUUUGCAACUGAGUGAGGACAUGUGGCUAAGUUCUCUUAGUGAGCAGAACUGUGAGUUCUUUCCCUCCCAGGUCUGUGAUAACCUCCUUUGCAUGCUCGGCGUGUUCUUUCCGCUUUCUUGGGACCUCAGAGAAUAGGGAGCCUGGGUGCUGGAAUGAGCACCAAGAAGGAAACCACCCACUGACUUGAACACCCAUCCUGGACAGCUAAGUGAGCAAGAAUUCAAUUUCUAUCGCAUAGAGACUAAACUGUAGAGCCACUGCAUUUUGGGUCUACUUGUUGUAGUAAUUAGUUAAUUCUAACUGAUACACUAACAAAAGAGAAGAUUUCUUCAUAGGGCCUUGAUUCCUAAUGCCCAUUUUUCAUAGGACCUAACCUACUUCCAUAAGAAGACUGAGGUCAUCUAAAACAGGCAGCCACAAUUUUUCACCUUUCCUCUUCAAACAUUUAUUGAGCAAGAGGUACAGGGCAGGUACACCUAAGACCUGGGAUACCUGCUUCUUGGGUCUCUUUGGGCAUACUUUCCUUUCUUUCUUGUUCCCUUUUCUAAACUAGGUCUCUUUCUUCAACUCUACUGCCCUCAACACCUUUUCCAACUUUCUCCUCUCCAGUGGCUCCUUAUCUUCCAUUUUCAAACAUACUGGCCUUGACCCGUGUUGAGUCAGCCUUCCCUUCAUUCUGCUCUACCAUCAAACUACUUCUUUAUCCCUCUGCCUCCUUCCACUAUCAGACUUCACUAAAGAGUACAUGACAGCUCGGACCUCACUUUUCUCCCCCCAACACCUCUUUUCCGCCAUUCAGUCAGGUUUCCACUUUCACUUAUCUAAUUGAUAUUUACUGAUCCCCUCCUUGGUGCUGGGGAUGAUGCAAGAGUGAGAGAAUCCCUACCUUAUGCUGCAUCUUCCCAGCGUAUAACACCGUUAAGCGGGUCACCACAAAGACAGAGAAUCAAUGUUGGUAGCUGUCCAGAGGUGGGAGGGAGCAGAGACUGAGUUGUCUGUGGGCUCAGGGAAAGACAAAAUGAAGAGGCAGUGUUGGAGCUGACAGCUGGGGGCUGAGGCUGAGUAGGCGUUAGCCAAGCAAAGGAGGAGGAGGAAGAAAGUUACAGGCAGACACACUGCUGGAGAAAGGCCGAACUUGGAAGGCACCAGCAAGUCCGCAUGGUAAGUAGGGUCAAGGACAUGUGUGAAAGAGAAGAAAAGUGCUCUGAGGACUGGGUAGGGGUUGGAGGUGGGCUGUGGAGAGGAGUUGUUAGGCAGCAAGGUGCUGAAGCCCCCAGGGCUGUCUGAGUUCCCACCUCAGAGGAGCUCAGGGCAUCCGGGCUGCCCUGCGUUCCAGCCAUUGCUCUGUGCAUGUCAGAAGUGAGACCCCAUCGUCCCACACCCUGCUCUGUAGCUCUAGGAAGCUGAGGGACCUGGGUUUUGACUAAAGGCCCAUUCUAACGUAUAAAAACACGAGGGAAACCUAGAAGAUGGGUGAUGGCAACUGCAGCUCCUCUUCUCCCGACUCACGUCUGAUCACCUCUCCCAGCCGGCCCAUCUCCCAUGUGCAGAGGAGAGGGCUGGGCAGUUCAGCCAGGAGCCUGAAGUUCCGGAUCAGUUUUGCUCUCCCACCAUCCUAAGGGCUGAGGUGUCCUGGUGCUGCCCCACAGAGAUCCCGGAUAUGGGAGUGGGGUGGGUUUAUAAAUACUGCAGGAAGAGCUCUUUGGCACUCUGCCCAAACCCUGCAUCAAGAGACUGAAAUGAACGCUAGCAUGGUUUCUGACAGCUCAAGGCCAUGUCCCUAGGAUGACUGCUCCAGCCCCCUUAAGUUCCUGCCUGGGACAACUCAAGGCUGCAAGAAGAAUUACUCUUUGUUCCAGCCAACCCUUAAAGAUAAGGUCCGUGUCUCCUAGUCUCUGUAGGAGUAUAGGAGCCUGUCAGCAAAUCCCUAUGUACAUUUCCCCUUUCCUGACUCUGCUGGCCCAUCCCUUAUUUCACCCUCUCUAUUUCCUCUUUCUCCCUUUAAAAUGCCCUUACCUCUACACAAAUUGAAGUUGAUUUCAGUUCACGCUGAACCCUCUUCCCUAUUGCAAUAAUCAUUGAAUAAAAUCUGUUCUUGCUGCUUUAACUAGUGUCCUGCUUUAUUUAUCUUUGACAGCUGGAAAGUAGUAUUCCACCCCCUCCUCCCCUAUCAAUUAGGAUGAUGAUCAGUGCUUUAAGUGAGACCCUAAAUGACUGUGGCUUAGACAAGAUGACGUCUAGAACAGCAGCCUAGGCUCACCAUGGUGGCUCUGCAAUCAUCAAGGAUCCACGCUCCCAUUAUCUUGUGACCCACCUCUCUCUUGGGCUGUUUCCUUCCUGUGGCCCAAGAAGGCUGCCCCAGAUCUGGACAUCUUGUCUGCAUUCCAGUCAGCAGAAACUUCUAGAAGUCGGAGGUAGCAGACUUUGCUUGAGUCACAUACCACUGACCAGUGACUGCACUCCUGAAGCAAGAUGGGAUUUUUCAACUUUGGGAUUCUUAUUUCCUCUCGAGAUUGAGAACUGUUUGGUAUGAGUGUGGAAGAGGAAUUGGGUGGGGAGAGGGUGGGACAGCAGAUGAGCUUGAUAUGUGAGGAGGAGGGUCCUGACAAUACCACUACCCUCUCCUCAGGCUCCCGAGUCAGAACAGCUGUGGCCACGGGGUUCAGGUGCAGCUCCGAGGUAUAAUGAGUGCUUUUGGCUAAGUCACUUCACUGAUUUGAGCUUUUGUUUCCACCUUGACAAGCUAAUCUUCCCUAAAACGUUCUUCAAACUUUUUUUAACGCAGAGAAACUUAUUUUUCAGACAGAAAUUUAGAGAGAACCCCAAAAUAGAUGAAAGUGGAACUUCUCAAGUAGAGAGUGGGAGAUUGAGGUGUUGCCCACUGGGUCUUACAGACUCUCUUGGGGGAUGGGAACCACCUCCAAAGAACUAGAUGCCACAGAAGGUACUAACCACUCCCAGACUUCCGGCCUCACCUUCUUCUAUUUAGCAAUCAGACCCCUCCCAGCAGAGUUUUGGCUGGGCACAUGCCUAGCUUCCCUUCAAGGCUGUGGCCAGUGGGAUGUGAGCAGAAAUAAAAGGGCAACUCUCAGGUGAUGUCCAUAAAAAGAAAGCUCUUGGCCCUCUGCUUCCACUGCCACCCCCUCCCACCCCCGGCUGGGAAAGGAGACAACUGGAGUGUCAUCUUGGACCCACAGGUGGAUACCAUGUAUCGAUGAUGGCAAAGCCAACAUGCCAGCCUUGGUGCCCCGGUGACCACAUGGAACAGUGGAAUUACUGCUAUGGACCACCCACCUGCCCACCAUCUGCACUGUUACCUGAAAGAGAAAUGGGGGCCUGUCUUGUUAAAGACAGUGAGUUUGGGGUCUUUUCAUGUAGUGGUUUAGCCAGUUGACUAACUAGAAAACCAAGGCUCAGAAGAGCACAGUUUGCUAACCUCUACCUUACUGUCUCCAGCCUUCAGCAGCACUCAGUUUAUAGAAGACCAUUUCGCUCAUUAUAACACGUCUCCCUGUGGCUUUGGCCCCCUUUUAAAGCUUCUUCAGCUCCACCCAAUAAAGAGAUCUGCAGCUCUGCUGGAUGAGAGGAUCAGAAAAGUUGGAUCCAAUGAGUCAUAAAUGUAGAUGCUAAUUUAUAAACUGAGUAGGAACAUAAAGCAAGUUAGUAGAAAAUCUGAUUUCUGUUGCCUUUUCUCCUUGCAUCAUUUCCUGCCAUCUCCCACCUUUUCUUUAUUCUUAGCACUCCUCCUCACUCCUCUUUCCCUUUGGAUUUUCUCUGGACUGUCUAAAUAAGUUGUUCAAAUGUGUGACAUUCCAUGGCUCAUCAAUGACGGCUCAUGGAAAAGUAGGGUGCACACAUCUAGGACAUGCUGAAUGCUGACAACUCAAGCACCAGGAGAUAGCAAAACCGCGUGAGAGGUAAACACUGGCAGGGAGCUUUCUUCCUAUUGAGAUGCUGCUAAACCAGUCAGGUGAAGGCAUGCAUAGACCAGAAAGACUGACCUCUCCUGAGUAAGGAGGAAUUCUGCCAGCACUCAGCCUUUGGACUUGACCUGAGGCAUCAGUGCUCUCCUGGCACACCCUUCAGAUUUUGGACUUGCCAGGCUCUAUAAUUACAUGAGCCAGCUCCUUAAAAUAAAUCUCUCUCUUUCUCUCUCCCUCUCUCUCUCUCGCUAUAUAUAUACACAUCCUAUUGGUCUGUUUCUCUGGAGCACCCCAACGAAUACAAAGGAGGAGAGAGAAUUAUAAACUGGAGGGAAGAGAACAAUGUUUUCAGAGGUGAACGGUGGUAGAUUGCAACCAAGAAGAGCCAGACAGAAAGUGAAAGCCUCCCUGGGAGGAUUUCCAGAGAGCUUCACUAAAACUUUCCCCGGUGGCUGCUCACGUCUGCUACAUCCUGCAGUGUUCACACUUCACGCCACUCUCUCAAGAGUCUGCUGGGGGUGGGGUGGACAUGGAGAGGAGCAGACUAAGGCAACUGUACCACGAUGAAUUCCAAUACAUGUCCAAGAAGGAUCAGUGCUGACAGCUACUGAGGGUUCAGGGAAGGGGUGCAUGUGCGCUGGUAGUAGAAGACUUCUAAAGACUUGGGUGGGUGGAGAAGGAAGAGGUGGUAUCCCAGGCUGAGGGAGGCAAGACGAAUCUGGAGUCUUCAGGUCUCUCAGACCAACCAUCUCUUCCCUGGAACAAAGUGCAUAUGGUAUUCCAGGUAUUGACAAAGCCCAGAAAAAAGGUAAACCAAAAUGUUUUCUUGGAAUAUUCUCCUCACUUUGGGCUGCGGCUGAGUAAGCUGCUCCACUUCAUACAUCACACCCACUUCCUACACUGCACCCGAUUAUUUUCACCCACUCAAGAAGGCACUGUCAGAACGCAGCAAGCAAGCUUGAUGCCCCCAGACAUGACCUCAGAUGGAUCUGAUCAAUUAGAAGGUCAGUCCUCUGAAAAGGGCAGCGCAUUAACAGUCACUGAUCGGUGUUUGACCCAACACAGAGGAGACUGCCACACAGCAGUGAGACCACUCGGAGUGGAGGCACGGGAAGAAGUAGAUUAUUAACUCCCAGAAACUGGUGGCCGCUUUUUAAGAAACAUUUGCCUUGAACAGUUUCCAGACAAUACCUAAUGAGUGCUUGCUGGCAGUGCUGGACCGCCUUUAACUUAAAUUCUCCCAUGGUUCUGAGGGCCAGGCUGGGAGCGGCAUGUGUGGACCACACUUUGUCCAAAAGUGAGGUGAAAAACAGUCACACACCUAGCAGAAGAUCAGAGAUGGUACUUUGAAAGAUUAAUAAUGUAUUUCCUUUUUUAUGAUUAAUAAAGAUUAUCACUGACAA